AGAGAGAGAGAGAGAGAGAGAGAGGGUAGAAUGGCCAGACGAGGGUACGGGAAGAACUGCUAAAAUUAAUGUAAUUUAAAAAAUUUGAAUUGAAAUGAUUUUGCUCGAGUCGGGUCAAAUUGGGUAUACACCAAAGCUUUGACCCAACUUGGACAAUGAGGGUUGUUGUUGUCUUUUCCAUCAGCAAGGAUAUAGUAUAAACAAAUGUACAAUUCUGUUUUGGUUGAAAUAGUUCAAGCUUGGUUGAGUCGUGAUUUUUGAUAAAUUUUUUUGAAUAAUUACCUUUUUAUAUUAGUGGU
This 299-nucleotide long non-coding RNA is filed under the name Elaeis guineensis (African oil palm). RNAcentral describes it as "long non-coding RNA (EGUI_LNC000626)". The record is from RNAcentral. Lineage: Eukaryota; Viridiplantae; Streptophyta; Magnoliopsida; Arecales; Arecaceae.